GUCUACAGCCAUGCCACCCUGAACGCGCCCGAUCUCAUCUGAUCUCGGAAGCUAAGCAGGGUUGGGCCUGGUUAGUACUUGGACGGGAGACCACCUAAGAAUAUUGGGUGCUGCAGGCA
Molecule: ribosomal RNA, 119 nt
Filed under: Pteropus alecto (black flying fox)
Lineage: Eukaryota; Metazoa; Chordata; Mammalia; Chiroptera; Pteropodidae
Source: RNAcentral